UGCAAGUCGAGCGGUAACAGGAAUUAGCUUGCUAAUUUGCUGACGAGCGGCGGACGGGUGAGUAAUGCCUAGGGAACUGCCCAGUCGAGGGGGAUAACAGUUGGAAACGACUGCUAAUACCGCAUACGCCCUACGGGGGAAAAGAGGGGACCUUCGGGCCUUCUGCGAUUGGAUGUACCUAGGUGGGAUUAGCUAGUUGGUGAGGUAAUGGCUCACCAAGGCGACGAUCCCUAGCUGUUCUGAGAGGAUGAUCAGCCACACUGGGACUGAGACACGGCCCAGACUCCUACGGGAGGCAGCAGUGGGGAAUAUUGCACAAUGGGCGCAAGCCUGAUGCAGCCAUGCCGCGUGUGUGAAGAAGGCCUUCGGGUUGUAAAGCACUUUCAGCGAGGAGGAAAGCUUAAGCGUUAAUAGCGUUUAGGUGUGACGUUACUCGCAGAAGAAGGACCGGCUAACUUCGUGCCAGCAGCCGCGGUAAUACGAGGGGUCCAAGCGUUAAUCGGAAUUACUGGGCGUAAAGCGUACGCAGGCGGUUUGUUAAGCGAGAUGUGAAAGCCCCGGGCUCAACCUGGGAACUGCAUUUCGAACUGGCAAACUAGAGUCUUGUAGAGGGGGGUAGAAUUUCAGGUGUAGCGGUGAAAUGCGUAGAGAUCUGAAGGAAUACCGGUGGCGAAGGCGGCCCCCUGGACAAAGACUGACGCUCAUGUACGAAAGCGUGGGGAG
This 723-nucleotide ribosomal RNA is filed under the name Shewanella sp. RNAcentral describes it as "bacterial SSU rRNA". It matches the Rfam family "Bacterial small subunit ribosomal RNA", at positions 56 to 768 of the family's 1533-position model. Lineage: Bacteria; Pseudomonadati; Pseudomonadota; Gammaproteobacteria; Alteromonadales; Shewanellaceae. The record is from RNAcentral.